RNAcentral lists this ribosomal RNA (911 nucleotides) under uncultured bacterium. Its description in RNAcentral is "bacterial SSU rRNA". It matches the Rfam family "Bacterial small subunit ribosomal RNA", at positions 33 to 926 of the family's 1533-position model. The record is from RNAcentral.
ACGCUGGCGGCGUGCCUAAUACAUGCAAGUAGAACGCUGAAGAGAGGAGCUUGCUCUUCUUGAAUGAGUUGCGAACGGGUGAGUAACGCGUAGGUAACCUGCCUUGUAGCGGGGGAUAACUAUUGGAAACGAUAGCUAAUACCGCAUAACAAUGGGUGACACAUGUCAUUUAUUUGAAAGGGGCAAUUGCUCCACUACAAGAUGGACCUGCGUUGUAUUAGCUAGUAGGUGAGGUAACGGCUCACCUAGGCGACGAUACAUAGCCGACCUGAGAGGGUGAUCGGCCACACUGGGACUGAGACACGGCCCAGACUCCUACGGGAGGCAGCAGUAGGGAAUCUUCGGCAAUGGGGGCAACCCUGACCGAGCAACGCCGCGUGAGUGAAGAAGGUUUUCGGAUCGUAAAGCUCUGUUGUAAGUCAAGAACGAGUGUGAGAGUGGAAAGUUCACACUGUGACGGUAGCUUACCAGAAAGGGACGGCUAACUACGUGCCAGCAGCCGCGGUAAUACGUAGGUCCCGAGCGUUGUCCGGAUUUAUUGGGCGUAAAGCGAGCGCAGGCGGUUUGAUAAGUCUGAAGUUAAAGGCUGUGGCUCAACCAUGGUUCGCUUUGGAAACUGUCAAACUUGAGUGCAGAAGGGGAGAGUGGAAUUCCAUGUGUAGCGGUGAGAUGCGUAGAUAUAUGGAGGAACACCGGUGGCGAAAGCGGCUCUCUGGUCUGUAACUGACGCUGAGGCUCGAAAGCGUGGGGAGCGAACAGGAUUAGAUACCCUGGUAGUCCACGCCGUAAACGAUGAGUGCUAGGUGUUGGAUCCUUUCCGGGAUUCAGUGCCGCAGCUAACGCAUUAAGCACUCCGCCUGGGGAGUACGACCGCAAGGUUGAAACUCAAAGGAAUUGACGGGGGCCCGCAC